AGAAGCAGGUCUCCUGUCUGGAGACUACAAGUCCACAAUUGAUCCUAAAUGGGAAAAACAAUGAAGACACCCAUUGGAGCUUUAAUCACGUUCUUAUGGCUACAGCUGGACUGUGUCAGUCUUGGAAACAAGGUGGAGCAGAGUCCUUCUACCCUGAGUGUCCAGGAGGGAAGCACCCCUGUUAUCACCUGCACUUAUACAGACACUGCUUCAGAGUAUUUCCCUUGGUACAAGCAAGAACCUGGAAAAGGUCCCCAGCUCCUUGUAGCUAUUCGUUCAAAUAUGGGUGAAAAAAAAGACCAGAGACUGACUGUUUUAUUGAAUGAGACCGCCAAACAUCUCUCCCUGCACAUCGCAACCAUCCAGCCUGGAGACUCAGCUGUCUACUUCUGUGCAGCAAGGACACAGCGCUUCCCAGGCAGCCGCUACCUGUACUCAUACUUGUGACGGGCAGCCCCCUUCUCUGGUGCAACCUUCAAAGUAGCAUUUGUCAUACUGUUUGUCUGCAAGUGGAAACUGAUGUGUUAGACAAGCAUAGAAUAAGAAGGUUAGGUUUAAGAUGACCCAGAAAGUAUGACACAUUUUAUGGAUAAUUGCUGCUUACUGAUUUCUUGAAGGGAGUUAGCAUUGUUUUGUUUUGAAAUUGUAAUAUUGCCUUUACAUUUGCCACUCAGACUCAUUUUCUAUAAAUAACCUCUUGGUAUCAAUUGAUAAUCCUUGUUAUGAAUUUUUUUUAAU
This is a non-coding RNA of Dama dama (fallow deer), 738 nucleotides long. Lineage: Eukaryota; Metazoa; Chordata; Mammalia; Artiodactyla; Cervidae. The record is from the annotation of a RefSeq genome assembly.